Molecule: long non-coding RNA, 3414 nt
Organism: Meriones unguiculatus (Mongolian gerbil)
Lineage: Eukaryota; Metazoa; Chordata; Mammalia; Rodentia; Muridae
Exons: 5
Source: RefSeq, a predicted model, not a curated record
GUGGGUGUGUCACUGUGGAAGCUGGCUUUGCUAUCUCAUAGGCUCAAGUCACUCUGCCUGCUGCCAGCAGAUCAAGAUGUAGAACUCUCAGCUCCUUCUCCAGCACCGUGUCUGCCUACAAUCUGCCAUGUUUCCUGACAUGACAAUAGUGGACUAAACCUCUGAAACUGUAAGAACCCAUCCCGUAGUUUUCCAUGUUACCAUUUAUCCUCACUUGGAACACGGGCCUUAAGAGACGCUGCAUCUUCACCAGCAGCAGCAACUGGACAAAGGAACUAAGGCUGACAGAUAAUCAAAACUAGAAGCCAGAGGGUGGUGCCAGAGUCUUUUGUCCAGUGGAGAAAACCAACUAGUGCAACGUGUUAUGAUGCUCGGGGAUCUGUGAACUUGGCUUGAAGUCACCUCCAACCGACGGCCUGUUUUUAUAUGACCGCGAGCUACAGAUGGUUUUUACUUCAAUCCGAAGCAAUGUUUUUCUCCAGACUUUAGAAAUGCAGUUUUCUCAUCUGCAUACACUGGCCCACCACCAGCUUACCUUCCCUAUUUCAUCUUCAGGCAUAAAUGGAAAAAAAACUUGGAAAUAAUUUGUUUGAGCGAAACCCACAAGACAUUCUAACACUUCUAACUCUUGCACUCAACUGCUGCUGCAGACCCUUGCCUGGGUGCCAGUGACCUGGCAACAAGGAGAAAAUACACUACCCAAAGAAGGUCCUGUCCCAACAUCGACAGUAUCCAGAUGUUAAUGCACGGAAAGAGCCACAAUGAAAGACCAUUCAUAGACCCAGAGUCACGUGUCUCCGUGGAGGCUGCAGUCCACUCUCCCAAGGUGCACGUAAGCGAGACUCGGGACCUCUCAAAUGACAAAUCUCUUUUCAUGUGAAAUCACAACUCCUUUCCCUCCCUAGCCAAAGUUGGUUCAGAUCAUUGUCUCUUCCAGGGGACAGGAAGAGAAAAUAAUCUAUAAACGUCGAGACUCCACUCUGGGUGCCAAACCCUGCAAUUACAUUGUGCAGAGGGACUUCAUGAAUAAUUCCCGGGGUAUGAGCUGACAUUAAUCUGGAUAGUUAAUACAGAGCUGGGAAGUUGCCAGGAAAAAAAAAAAAAAAGAGCUGACUGAUUUCUUUCUAACAGAGCACUUUGGGUGAGGACACAGCCUCCUCUCUAAACUACACUUUCAUUCCACAUUGAUUUAACCAUCAUCUUUAUAUCUGUUUCCAUUGUAAGCUGAGGCCUAAGUACUGUCAGCAAAGCAUUGUGUUAGAACGAGAGCUCCGCCCAGGCAAAACAGCUCUAAAUAUUUACCGAUGGCUCACCCACACAUUUCAAGUGGCAUCAUCAUCAUGUCCAUCAGUGUCAUCAUUUAAACAGCCUGUGUGCAUCUCUGUGUGCCCUGUGAGUGCCUGGUGCCUACAGAGACCAGAAGAGGGCACUGAAUUCCCCUGGAACUGACAGUUAUAGGCCACUGUGUGAGUGCUGAGAAUCAAACCAAGGUCCUCUGGAAAAGCAACCAGUGCUCUUAAUUGAUGAGUCAGCCCUUAAAUGGCUUUGCUGUAAGAAAAUCCUAACCGAUCCCAGUGCCCCAGCUGUGUGUAUGCCACUGUUUCUAGGCAGAGUGUCAGCUAAAACCCUGUUUGUUUCAGAACAGAGUCAAUCUCUCUUUGUGUGUGUCUCUCUCCCUCUCUCUCCUCUCUCAUGGUACCAAGGCUGUCCUUGAACUCACUUUGUAGCCAAAGAUGACCUUUAAUUUCUGAUCCUGUCUCCACUUCCGUAGUCCCAGGAUUCUAGGUAGGCACCACUAGGCCCAGUGACAGUGGUUCUGCAGAUGGAGCCCAGGUUUAUGCAUGCUAGGCAAGCACUCUGUUGACUGAGCUACACCCCCACUGAAAAACAGGGUAUAUAAUCUCCAAAAAUCUUUGGUCAUUAUUGGUGGGUCAAUAUUGGAAUCUCUUCUUGAUGAAAACUGAUGUAUGGAUGCAUGGUGAAUACAUGUUCUUUUGUUAGUUAAAAUAGUUCAUUGGUUCAAGUGUGUACUUCCAGGAGGUGGACCUUAUGUUCAGCAUCCUUAGGAAAACUACCAAAAGAAAUUAAAACAAAAGGCAGCACGUUUUCUGCCUCAGGGAUCAGUUAGGGAAGAAGGCACAAACUAGAAAGAUGACUCCAUGGGUUAGAAGUGCUUGCUGCAAAAGCAUGAAGUGCUGGAUUUGGAUCCCACCAUCUCCAGAAAAAGUCAGAUGUGGCCACAAGCACCUGUGACCCCAGAGCUGUGAGGAGCAGCUACAGACUGAAGAGCCAGGGGCUGCCAGCCUAGCGCCAGGUUCAUGAGAGCUUCUGCCUCAAGGGAGUAAGUUAAAGUUACAGAAGGCCAUCCAAAGGCCUCUGUGUGUACACAUGUGUAAGUGUGCACAUACACCUACCAUACUUACAUAUGUGUAUUCUCUCUCAUACAGAGAAGGGGGAAGAAGAAGAGGAGGAGAAGGAGGGAAAGAGGAUGAAGAAGGAGGGUUCAAGAUGGGUGUCUGUAGAACUCUGAAAAGUGAAGGAUGUUAGGAUUUAUUUACAAGCUUUGUUGUUUUAAAUGUACAUUGUUUUUUUUCCCAUAAUGCUUAAGUACCUCACUACAGAUUUUAUAUUGCAUAUUUAGCAACAUAUGUGGUAAGAUACCAACAAAUCAUUGUACCCCAGCCUGAAAUCCACAACCAAUCCAGUUGUACCAAUGCAGGAUGGUGAAAGAUCAGCCUGCCCUGUGACCCUUGGAUAUGUUCUUGCGUUGUCUGCUCACUUGUCUGUGGACUCUUCUUCUUCUAGAACAUGAAUACACCUGGAUCGGGUAAAAACAAUGACUGAGUGUGACGAUGUCAGUGUGUGUUCAGUGGCUGGAAAUCCUCAGGUUGGCUUGGCCAGAGCCAAUAGCUCAUCUCAGAGAGCUAGAAAUGAAGUGAGGCAGAUGACAGGCAAGAGUGGGGGUAACCUUGAAUGGUGAAGAUGGGAAGAGCAGUCGGUUUUCUGUGAACUGUGGAGACCAUCAAGAAUAAACACUCAUGCAGUUAUCAUCAGUCCCCAAAAUGUCGCUACUUCCACAACCUUGAUGGAGUUCCCUUUAGUGCCACACAUGAGACCUGGGUGCGGUACCUGCAUUCAUCUGGACUCACAACAGCUCCGAGUACAUCCUAUUAUCCAAAGCCUAAGGGUCCCCAGGAACCUUUUCAAGGCCAUGUACUUACUAACCAUUACUCUACACGCAGGCACAAGCACUGGUCAAAAUAAUUUAUCUAACAAAAUUAUAUAACACUUUAACAAGGAAAAUUGCCUGUAAUUUCAGCACAAUGCCACUCAUAAUUUCUUCAUACUUUCUUUCAGGCUGUUACUCAUAUUUUAUAUAGCUGUACCACAACUAUUAAACAAAUUUGUGACACA